This is a non-coding RNA of Malus domestica (apple), 214 nucleotides long. The record is from RefSeq and is a predicted model, not a curated record. NCBI's taxonomy places the organism in Eukaryota, Viridiplantae, Streptophyta, Magnoliopsida, Rosales, Rosaceae.
AACUGCUUUGGAGCCAGUAGCACUCAGCAGCUAGAGCAGCGGCGUCUCUCUUCCUCAUCGCAAAAUGGGUGUUUUCAGGUCAACUGAGGAUUCAAAUCCAGCGGGUCCAGCUCAAGAUAUAGAUAAAACAAUUCCAACUCUUAAAAAGGGAGUGAAAAGUGCAUUCUUCACAAAGGCAAAAUAGAGAACAUAUUAUACCUCAUAUGAAAGGAAG